Molecule: ribosomal RNA, 253 nt
Filed under: uncultured bacterium
Lineage: Bacteria
Description: partial 16S ribosomal RNA
Rfam family: Bacterial small subunit ribosomal RNA
Source: RNAcentral
UACAGAGACUGCAAGCGUUAUUCGGAUUUACUGGGCGUAAAGGGUGCGCAGGCGGUUAUGUGUGUGAUAUGUGAAAUCCCGAGGCUCAACCUCGGAAUUGCAUUUCAAACUACAUGACUAGAGCAUUGGAGAGGGUAGCAGAAUUCAUGGUGUAGCAGUGAAAUGCGUAGAUAUCAUGAGGAAUACCAGAGGCGAAGGCGGCUACCUAGACAAUUGCUGACGCUCAGGCACGAAAGCGUGGGGAGCAAAAGGG